UGGGGAAUAUUGGACAAUGGGCGGAAGCCUGAUCCAGCCAUGCCGCGUGUGUGAAGAAGGCCUUUUGGUUGUAAAGCACUUUAAGCGAGGAGGAGGCUACUUUAGUUAAUACCUAGAGAUAGUGGACGUUACUCGCAGAAUAAGCACCGGCUAACUCUGUGCCAGCAGCCGCGGUAAUACAGAGGGUGCAAGCGUUAAUCGGAUUUACUGGGCGUAAAGCGCGCGUAGGCGGCUAAUUAAGUCAAAUGUGAAAUCCCCGAGCUUAACUUGGGAAUUGCAUUCGAUACUGGUUAGCUAGAGUGUGGGAGAGGAUGGUAGAAUUCCAGGUGUAGCGGUGAAAUGCGUAGAGAUCUGGAGGAAUACCGAUGGCGAAGGCAGCCAUCUGGCCUAACACUGACGCUGAGGUACGAAAGCAUGGGGAGCAAACAGG
This 430-nucleotide ribosomal RNA is filed under the name Pseudomonadota bacterium. Its description in RNAcentral is "Proteobacteria bacterium partial 16S ribosomal RNA". It matches the Rfam family "Bacterial small subunit ribosomal RNA", at positions 355 to 776 of the family's 1533-position model. The record is from RNAcentral. Lineage: Bacteria; Pseudomonadati; Pseudomonadota.